This 65-nucleotide transfer RNA is filed under the name Dialysis sp. KW-2016. RNAcentral describes it as "tRNA-Phe". Lineage: Eukaryota; Metazoa; Arthropoda; Insecta; Diptera; Xylophagidae. The record is from RNAcentral.
AUUUAAAUAGCUUAUAUAAAGUACUAUAUUGAAGUUAUAGUGAAGAUUAAAUUAAUCUUUAAAUA